This is a long non-coding RNA of Etheostoma cragini (Arkansas darter), 98 nucleotides long. RefSeq lists it as uncharacterized. The transcript has 3 exons. The record is from RefSeq and is a predicted model, not a curated record. NCBI's taxonomy places the organism in Eukaryota, Metazoa, Chordata, Actinopteri, Perciformes, Percidae.
CUGACUUGAGUGCAGCUUUUUGUCACCGUCCCCGCCUGCUGCCGCCAGCUCUCGUCCACUUUACAGGCGCGGCGCAGUUCAUCUCGAACAAGCCUGUU